This is a long non-coding RNA of Lacerta agilis (Sand lizard), 452 nucleotides long. RefSeq lists it as uncharacterized. The record is from RefSeq and is a predicted model, not a curated record. NCBI's taxonomy places the organism in Eukaryota, Metazoa, Chordata, Lepidosauria, Squamata, Lacertidae. The transcript has 3 exons.
UUGUUUUCAGAGCUGUUUUAGCUGAAAAAGGAUGAAUUAAAUAAUUCCAUGCCUGAAUAAAGGAGAAAAGGCCCCGGUUUCCUAUGGUAUACCCCUGUGUCUGUUGAUGAUAUAGUGAAGCAACAACACCAGUGAGGCUUGCGGGAGAAUAUUUUAUACCACAAGUGAAGUCCUCAAAGAGCCUUUUCCACCAAGAGUUCCAAGAGCCAGGAGAUACUGCUCCCAUUUUCCUGAAGAACCCUACAAGAUUCAAGCACAGUGGCAUCGCCUGUCUGGAUAAUCUGCAAAGCGAUCUUAACCAUAUCUACUCCAAAGUAAAUUCUAUUGAAUUCAGUGGUGCUUACUCCCAGGCUUAUCAAACAGAAUGGCCUGCAAAAUGGUGGACUUCAUUCGUUUGAUUUACUCUCAUUGAUUCUUGGUAUGUGACAACUUCUGACACCAUAUUGUGCAUU